Molecule: long non-coding RNA, 265 nt
Organism: Amphimedon queenslandica
Lineage: Eukaryota; Metazoa; Porifera; Demospongiae; Haplosclerida; Niphatidae
Exons: 3
Source: RefSeq, a predicted model, not a curated record
CAAUGAACAUCUCAUAAUCAAGAAACAGUUUGUUCUAUGGACAUUGCCGUAUUUAUUAAAAGAUUGUGUUAAUGGUUGCUGAUUAUCCUGAAAUGAACGACAGAACUUACAUGGUAGUAAAUUCAUGACAAGUACAGUAGUAAUAAUUCUAAAGUAGGCUGAGGUAUUUAAUUAUUGUAAUAUAUAUUUAUGAAAAUUUUGCACAAAAUUUAAAUGCAGUAUAUUCCAUGUGUCAAAACUGCUUUUUAAGAACAUUAUUCUAUGA